Long non-coding RNA from Leguminivora glycinivorella, 811 nucleotides. RefSeq lists it as uncharacterized. The transcript has 3 exons. The record is from RefSeq and is a predicted model, not a curated record. Lineage: Eukaryota; Metazoa; Arthropoda; Insecta; Lepidoptera; Tortricidae.
GUCUAAUGUCAUCUCACAUCGCUGAUCAUUGAGCGAGACAUGCGCUCCAAGCGGAGAGAUUUAUAACUGCAAUUACAAUGCCUCAGCCGGUCAUUUUUGCGACUGUUCUACUUCGACAGACUUUCCUCCUUAUCUCUACUCUCCCUGGAAGUAACGAAAUGUCACUUCAAGUGACACUGUUUUUCCCUCCUUUUUCGUUUGGCGCCUGUUGUGUCGUACGCGUCCUCCGUGAUUGUGCUCUAUGUGAUUAAUAAUAACACCUAUUCGUUUCAUGGAAAAGCGAAAACAUGUACUCGGUGAUAAAAUUUACUGAAAAAGACGGCGGAACCGUAUCAUUAGUGAACAACCAGUGGUUUACGCCAAGGAGAUGCGAAUAUCAAAUUCUACGGACAUCACUCGGCAGUUCGUGGUCCCGGCCGCCAUCAUGCUUUGUACUGCUGCUCCAGCUAUCCUCCAGUGCAACUUGAAGGCCUAAUCCAUGCACACAUCGGUGUUUUUUUAUAUCUAUGUAAUACACUUGUCAUUGGCGAAGGUCCACGAGGCUGCCAUAUUGAAUAGAGAGAAAUUCUUUAAGGGCCAGUGAUCGAGCCAUGCUAAUUUGAAAUCGCGAGUACCUAUUUCGUAUAAUCACAUUAUUUUCAUAAAAUGACUUGAGGACCCCUUCCAUUGACAUGAAUGCACGGAACUACAAGCCGGCUUCUUUUCUGCGUUGGAUGACCUAGAGAAAGCAAAAAAAAUACUGAAACUGGUUGAGGAUACAUCAGACUUACAGACUGAAGCCGAAACAGAACCAAGUCUUAAACGUAAAAUG